GGAACACUCACUGAUUUGUUUGGUUUCUGGGGACAAUACCUGAUGGGAAUGGGUGCUUUCUGAGCGCAAAUCUGAGAUACUUUUGAAGGAAUGGGAUCUCAUUAACUACCGGUUCAGUUUUCUUUUGUACAAGUGGAGUCCUUUGCUUGAUUUUGGGUAAAGUUUAGUGGUUGAUAAGUGAGGCCAACAUGGUGGUGACUGACCAAUGACGAGAUUUGCACUGUCAUGGUCAGAUCCCUCAAAGUCAAAAGGGGGUUAUCGUUGAUCUGUUCAUUCAUAGAUCAGAUUGAAAAGGAGACACUGCAGACCUUAAAAGAUAUUUCAACAAAAUCAGAGAUAGUUGAAAAUCUUGUUCUAGGUUAGCUUCAGGUCCCAGUGUGAUCUACCAGG
This is a long non-coding RNA of Asterias rubens (European starfish), 390 nucleotides long. RefSeq lists it as uncharacterized. The transcript is spliced from 3 exons. Lineage: Eukaryota; Metazoa; Echinodermata; Asteroidea; Forcipulatida; Asteriidae. The record is from RefSeq and is a predicted model, not a curated record.